RNAcentral lists this ribosomal RNA (780 nucleotides) under uncultured bacterium. RNAcentral's name for it is "bacterial SSU rRNA". It matches the Rfam family "Bacterial small subunit ribosomal RNA", at positions 10 to 796 of the family's 1533-position model. The record is from RNAcentral.
AGUUUGAUCAUGGCUCAGGAUGAACGCUGGCGGCGUGCUUAACACAUGCAAGUCGAACGGAAAGGCCCUCUGCUUGCAGAGGGUACUCGAGUGGCGAACGGGUGAGUAACACGUGGGUGAUCUGCCCUGCACUGUGGGAUAAGCCUGGGAAACUGGGUCUAAUACCAUAUAUGACCGCAUUUUGGAUGGUGUGGUGGAAAGCUUUUGCGGUGUGGGAUGAGCCUGCGGCCUAUCAGCUUGUUGGUGGGGUAAUGGCCUACCAAGGCGGCGACGGGUAUCCGGCCUGAGAGGGUGUACGGACACAUUGGGACUGAGAUACGGCCCAGACUCCUACGGGAGGCAGCAGUGGGGAAUAUUGCACAAUGGGCGCAAGCCUGAUGCAGCGACGCCGCGUGGGGGAUGAAGGCCUUCGGGUUGUAAACUCCUUUCGCUAUCGACGAAGCCACUUGUGGUGACGGUAGGUAGAUAAGAAGCACCGGCUAACUACGUGCCAGCAGCCGCGGUAAUACGUAGGGUGCGAGCGUUGUCCGGAAUUACUGGGCGUAAAGAGCUCGUAGGUGGUUUGUCGCGUCGUCUGUGAAAUCCCGGGGCUUAACUUCGGGCGUGCAGGCGAUACGGGCAUAACUUGAGUGCUGUAGGGGAGACUGGAAUUCCUGGUGUAGCGGUGAAAUGCGCAGAUAUCAGGAGGAACACCGAUGGCGAAGGCAGGUCUCUGGGCAGUUACUGACGCUGAGGAGCGAAAGCAUGGGUAGCGAACAGGAUUAGAUACCCUGGUAGUCC